UUGUUGGGCUAUUUAGAGGGCUGUUCUAGUAAUAUCUUCAUUUUAGCAUUGUUAAACC
This is an unclassified non-coding RNA of Cricetulus griseus (Chinese hamster), 58 nucleotides long. Lineage: Eukaryota; Metazoa; Chordata; Mammalia; Rodentia; Cricetidae. The record is from Ensembl.